RNAcentral lists this unclassified non-coding RNA (353 nucleotides) under soil metagenome. Its description in RNAcentral is "partial contains 5.8S ribosomal RNA, internal transcribed spacer 2, and large subunit ribosomal RNA". The stretch from base 1 to 120 matches the Rfam family "5.8S ribosomal RNA", at positions 35 to 154 of the family's 154-position model. The record is from RNAcentral.
GAUGAAGAACGUAGCGAAAUGCGAUAAGUAAUGUGAAUUGCAGAAUUCAGUGAAUCAUCGAAUCUUUGAACGCACAUUGCGCCCGCCAGUAUUCUGGCGGGCAUGCCUGUUCGAGCGUCAUUACAACCCUCAGGCCCCCGGGCCUGGCGUUGGGGAUCGGCGGAAGCCCCCUGCGGGCACAACGCCGUCCCCCAAAUACAGUGGCGGUCCCGCCGCAGCUUCCAUUGCGUAGUAGCUAACACCUCGCAACUGGAGAGCGGCGCGGCCACGCCGUAAAACACCCAACUUCUGCAUGUUGACCUCGAAUCAGGUAGGAAUACCCGCUGAACUUAAGCAUAUCAAUAUGCGGAGGA